RNAcentral lists this ribosomal RNA (390 nucleotides) under uncultured Flavobacteriaceae bacterium. RNAcentral's name for it is "bacterial LSU rRNA". It matches the Rfam family "Bacterial large subunit ribosomal RNA", at positions 1 to 406 of the family's 2925-position model. The record is from RNAcentral. Lineage: Bacteria; Pseudomonadati; Bacteroidota; Flavobacteriia; Flavobacteriales; Flavobacteriaceae.
GAUAGGCUAAUUAAGAGCGUAAGGGGAAUGCCUUGGCUCUCAGAGGCGAAGAAGGACGUGAUAAGCUGCGAAAAGUUGCGGGGAGUGGCACAUACAUUAUAAUCCGCAAAUGUCCGAAUGGGGAAACCCGGUUAUUUGAAGAAUAAUCAUCCAUUUAUGGAAGCUAACCCGGAGAACUGAAACAUCUAAGUACCCGGAGGAAAAGAAAACAAUAGUGAUUCCGCUAGUAGUGGCGAGCGAACGCGGAAUAGCCCAAACCUAAGUUGUUUAGGCAAUUUAGGGGUUGUAGGACCACAAUAUUUAUUGCUUAAUGAAUUAGAAUCAGUUGGAAAUCUGAACCAUAGAGGGUGAUAGUCCCGUACAAGUAAAGAGAGUUAAUAAUAGUGGUAU